RNAcentral lists this small RNA (528 nucleotides) under Pongo abelii (Sumatran orangutan). RNAcentral's name for it is "retained intron". Lineage: Eukaryota; Metazoa; Chordata; Mammalia; Primates; Hominidae. The record is from RNAcentral.
AGGACCCAGGGCCAGCCGUUGGCAGAGAGGUGACCAAGAAACGUACAUGGGGACCAGGCUUGGCUGUGGGGCAGAGCUGCCAGGGGUUGGCUAGGCUGUCGGACAGGGAGGGUGUGGUAUGGAUGUGUUGACCCCUGAGGUGAUUCUGAUGACCUUUCCCUAUCUCACUUUCCUCAGACAUCAUCAUGAUGGAGGACCUGCCUGGCCUAGCCCCAGGCCCAGCCCCCAGCCCCACAGUAGCCCCUGACCCAGCCCCAGAUGCCUACCGUCCAGUGGGGCUGACCAAGGCCGUGCUGUCCCUGCACACACAGAAGGAGGAGCAAGCCUUCCUCAGCCGCUUCCGAGACCUGGGCAGGCUGCGUGGACUCGACAGCUCUUCCACAGCUCCCUCAGCCCUUGGCGAGCGAGGCUGCCACCACGGCCCCGCACCCCCAAGCCGCCGACACCACUGCCGAUCCAAAGCCAAGCGCUCACGCCACCACCAGAACCCUCGGGCUGAAGCGCCCUGCUAUGUCUCACACCCCUCAC